AACGAACGCUGGCGGCGUGUCUUAAGCAUGCAAGUCGUGCGGCAAGGGGUAGCAAUACCCCCUAGAGCGGCGGACUGGUGAGUAACGCGUGGGUGAUCUGCCCUUGGGAUGGGGAUAGCCACUAGAAAUAGUGGGUAAUACCGAAUACGUUCGGCACUUCGAUGUGCCGAGGAAAAGCGCUUCGGCGCUGCCCGAGGAUGAGCCCGCGUCCCAUUAGCUAGUUGGUGAGGUAACGGCCCACCAAGGCGAUGAUGGGUAGGCGGCCUGAGAGGGUGUACGCCCACAUUGGGACUGAGAUACGGCCCAAACUCCUACGGGAGGCAGCAGCUAAGAAUAUUCCGCAAUGGACGAAAGUCUGACGGAGCGACGCCGCGUGGAUGACGAAGGCCGAAAAGGUUGUAAAGUCCUUUUGCUGGGGAAGAAUAACCAUGGGAGGGAAUGCCCGUCGGGAGUGACAUGAACCGGCGAAUAAGACCCCGGCCUAACUACGUGCCAGCAGCCGCCGGUAAAAGUAGU
Molecule: ribosomal RNA, 516 nt
Filed under: uncultured bacterium
Lineage: Bacteria
Description: bacterial SSU rRNA
Rfam family: Bacterial small subunit ribosomal RNA
Source: RNAcentral